AUUGAACGCUGGCGGCAUGCUUUACACAUGCAAGUCGAACGGUAACAGGCCUUCGGGUGCUGACGAGUGGCGAACGGGUGAGUAAUGCAUCGGAACGUACCCAGAGGUGGGGGAUAACGCAGCGAAAGCUGUGCUAAUACCGCAUGUGAUCUGAGGAUGAAAGCGGGGGACCGAGCAGCAAUGUUUGGCCUCGCGCCUUUGGAGCGGCCGAUGUCGGAUUAGCUAGUUGGUGGGGGAAAGGCCUACCAUGGCGACGAUCCGUAUCUGGUCUGAGAGGACGACCAGCCACACGGGGUGUGAGACAGGGCCGAGACUCCUACGGGAGGCAGCAGUGGGGAAUUUUGGACAAUGGGCGCGAGCCUGAUCCAGCAAUGCGGCGGGAGGGAAGAAGGCGUUCGGGUUGUAAACCGCUGUUGGCAGGAGCGAAACGGUGUCCGCUAAUACCGGGCGAUAAUGACGGUACCUGCAGAAUAAGCACCGGCUAACUACGUG
This 492-nucleotide ribosomal RNA is filed under the name uncultured bacterium. RNAcentral describes it as "partial 16S ribosomal RNA". It matches the Rfam family "Bacterial small subunit ribosomal RNA", at positions 29 to 507 of the family's 1533-position model. The record is from RNAcentral.